RNAcentral lists this ribosomal RNA (983 nucleotides) under Staphylococcus aureus. RNAcentral describes it as "partial 23S ribosomal RNA". It matches the Rfam family "Bacterial large subunit ribosomal RNA", at positions 1487 to 2467 of the family's 2925-position model. The record is from RNAcentral. Lineage: Bacteria; Bacillati; Bacillota; Bacilli; Caryophanales; Staphylococcaceae.
CGAAGCGUGCGAUUGGAUUGCACGUCUAAGCAGUAAGGCUGAGUAUUAGGCAAAUCCGGUACUCGUUAAGGCUGAGCUGUGAUGGGGAGAAGACAUUGUGUCUUCGAGUCGUUGAUUUCACACUGCCGAGAAAAGCCUCUAGAUAGAAAAUAGGUGCCCGUACCGCAAACCGACACAGGUAGUCAAGAUGAGAAUUCUAAGGUGAGCGAGCGAACUCUCGUUAAGGAACUCGGCAAAAUGACCCCGUAACUUCGGGAGAAGGGGUGCUCUUUAGGGUUAACGCCCAGAAGAGCCGCAGUGAAUAGGCCCAAGCGACUGUUUAUCAAAAACACAGGUCUCUGCUAAACCGUAAGGUGAUGUAUAGGGGCUGACGCCUGCCCGGUGCUGGAAGGUUAAGAGGAGUGGUUAGCUUCUGCGAAGCUACGAAUCGAAGCCCCAGUAAACGGCGGCCGUAACUAUAACGGUCCUAAGGUAGCGAAAUUCCUUGUCGGGUAAGUUCCGACCCGCACGAAAGGCGUAACGAUUUGGGCACUGUCUCAACGAGAGACUCGGUGAAAUCAUAGUACCUGUGAAGAUGCAGGUUACCCGCGACAGGACGGAAAGACCCCGUGGAGCUUUACUGUAGCCUGAUAUUGAAAUUCGGCACAGCUUGUACAGGAUAGGUAGGAGCCUUUGAAACGUGAGCGCUAGCUUACGUGGAGGCGCUGGUGGGAUACUACCCUAGCUGUGUUGGCUUUCUAACCCGCACCACUUAUCGUGGUGGGAGACAGUGUCAGGCGGGCAGUUUGACUGGGGCGGUCGCCUCCUAAAAGGUAACGGAGGCGCUCAAAGGUUCCCUCAGAAUGGUUGGAAAUCAUUCAUAGAGUGUAAAGGCAUAAGGGAGCUUGACUGCGAGACCUACAAGUCGAGCAGGGUCGAAAGACGGACUUAGUGAUCCGGUGGUUCCGCAUGGAAGGGCCAUCGCUCAACGGAUAAAAGCUACC